UCAUAUUCAAAGUAAACGCCAUUCACCAAGCCACUGCACUAAGAUCCAACGUAAGUACAUUUAUCUGUAUUCUUUAACUGUUGUUUUUUUUCUUCUUACUUUUUAUAAAGUUUCUAUUAUAAAGGAACAGAAUGAUGUUCCCGUAAAGUUUUGACGUCAUAAAACAAAACAUCUGACGCCACAAUGGAAAAGUGAUUGUCAAAAGUUAGAGAGGCCGGUAUAUAUGUCAAAAUACAGGAUUUGGUGUUUCAAGCAUGAUUUUUGUGCUCCAAGCAUUAUCACUACCAGCGACGUCACAAUGUGCAAAAUGAUGUGAGAGGUGAAAUUUAUCAGCACUGUCACAAUCGUGACAAUGCGGGUUUUCUUCGUAUAUAUGUCGGAAAAUAUCAGCCGCUCGUCAAAAAGGUUCACAUUGUGCCUCGGGGCUGAUAUUUUUACGAUAUCAGCAUGUAGAAAACCCGAUAAUUUAUACAUAUCGCACCACUAUUCUGGUUUUACAACACGUGCAUGAUGUAAUACAUAAAACCAUUUUAGAAGAGAGACAUGAUAGAUAUGAAAUUAAAUUUUUGUUGUACUCUUGCUUUAUAUUAAAUUUUGCUAAUUUUUAGAACCUUACAGUGUAGCUAAUUUGAUUCAAUUGAUGGAUAGGCAUAUCCAUGUGUUAAAAUAUACUCAAGUGUAUUUACAAUAUAAAGUCUUGUGCAUUGAACUCAUAAACUAAAGAACUGAUAAAAAUUUAGUAUGAAUAAAUACAAAAGAUUUUUUACAAAAAUCAACUUUGUAGUUUUUAAUUUCUGUGUCAUUUUGGUCUCUUGUGGAGAGUUGUCUCAUUGGCAUUCAUACCACAUCUUCUUUUUUUAUAUUUUAUAUUUCUGUUUUUAAAUUAAGGUUAUGUUUUUUUUAAUUACAUAUUUUAAUUUUUUAUUAUUAUUUGAAAAAUCCGGAUAAUUUUAAACAUUUUUGACAUUUUACUAUGUUUUACAAUUGUAUUUCUAUAUAGGUAUAUAUAUUUGUAUAUGUUCAUAAGCUAUAUGUAUAGUAGGGUAUUAUAUUCUGUGUAUGCUACGUAAGCUUGUGAUGGCAAUAUAAAUGUAUAUUAUAUAUAUAUUAUAUUUAACUGUAAUGUAUAAUUUGCAUCAAACUCAUGAUAGACGAGGAUAUCAGUUAAUGAUUAAUACAUUAUUGCUUUUCUGGGUUAAUUAAAAAUAAUAUGUAUUAUAUUUAUCUGUAUUAUAACAUUAUAUGACAUUUAUAUAAAUUAUUAUUUUGCAAGGGACAAUAUAAUUUACAAAAAAAUCAUACCACUACUCCUUUAAUUAUUAUUAUUAUAUGUAUAUAAUGACUGAAUAAAUAGUCAACGAUUAAUCUGUAUUAUAUAUUAUAUGUUCCCAGACCGUAUCUAUGGUGUUUUUGGACCGUAUGCUUAGCUACUUUUUCAAAAUACUCAUACGGUCGAACUAAUAUAAAGAAGUUUCUCAAGUUUAAUGCAAAUGCAUAUAUAAACAGAUCAAGAUAACUUAACUCUCAAAUUUAUAUAAAAAAGUUCAAAUGUAAUUGAAAUAAAAACUUUAUAUUUUAACUAUUUAAAAAAAUCGCGCUAAUUAAAUCUGUUAAUUUCUUGUAUGUCUUACUUUUAAAACAUGUCGACCAGUAAUACAUUAAUUGAAUUAUAUGAUCACUGAAAUUGAAGAUAUCGGAAGAAAACAUAAUGUGGGAGGACACUAUUUAGCAAUUUUAGAAACAAAAAAAUGUAAAUGCAAGGGAACAUGCAUGAACAGCAAACAUUUAAACGCAAAAAAAAUACGUCCAUCUAAUUGUAAUAAUAACAAUUUGUAAUACUAAAAAUAAAGAUUGUGAUAAUGGUUGUCUAAAUGUAAACCAUAUAAUCCAAUAACAUGUAUGGUCAGCUCGUACUGGACCAUACGCGUAUACUCAUACGGUCCGAUCGCACGCGUAUGGUCGGACCGUACGAGUAUACGUAUAUACGGUCCGGACCGUACUCCGGCGUACGGUCCAAAUACUCAAUGGUCUGGAACAUAUAUAUGGCAAAUUUGUAAAUGUAAAACAUACAUUUAUUGAUCAUAAUUUUCAAUUAUAUAUUUUUUUAUAUUUUUGGCAGUGGCUUAUUUGCCGGUGAAACAGUAAUUAUGAUCUGAUUAUAAUAUCUCGAUUAAAAGCGAGCUAUAAAUAGCUGUACCAUAAUUCAUGGAAUUUUUUCUUAUUAAGAUUUCCAAAUUGAUGAAAACAAAUAUUCUGUUCGAGUACAGGACAAAAAAUAUUCUGAAUCCAGAUUCCACCCAUACCUUAUAGUGUUAGAUUUAAAAAAAAAAAUUGAUUGAUAUCGUUGAAAAAUUUAAAUAAAAUUGUUUGCACUUCACUGACUCAAGCAAAAACCAUGACCCUCCUUGAAGUUAAAUUGUUUCUCCCUGACAGUCUACAGUUUAUUUUUAAAUUAUAUUUAAUAUCACUAUGCAAAUUUUAUCAAUGUCAAUUUUUGUAGAGUCUUACAUGAAGAACUACAUGUACCCCUCAGCAAGGACAUCAGAUAUUGAAGAAUUGAUUGGGGAAACCCUAAAACAUACACCCCCAAAACCAGGCGGAACACGCUAUAAGGUAAGAAUACCCUUAUUUCCCCCGUAUAGUGCAACCUAUAUUGGAAUAUUUCCCAAAAUUAUUAUUGUUUGUAUUCUAUGUUGUUUGUUUUUUUUUAAUCAGUACGAAAUUGUUAUUAUAGAUAUGCAUUUGUAACUAGCAUUGUGAAGAUCAAGAUACUCUUUUGGGACAAUAAAGGGUAACAUUAAAUUUAACUGAAUAUAUAAUUAUGUGGUUUAUGUGUUUUUCAAGGAGAUUUGGAAAGCCACGUCUUACACACAGCUACAUAGAUCUAGUAUUUAUUUGCAAUAAUGUUUGACCUAGAAUAAUUACAAUUUAACUUUUUGUACAAAUAAGUGUUUGUAUUGUCAUUGCAGGAACCAACUGUAAGAGGGUAAUUGCAGCAGCUCCGGAAAUACCACUACCAGGGACCCAGGAGAAC
RNAcentral lists this long non-coding RNA (3034 nucleotides) under Mytilus galloprovincialis (Mediterranean mussel). The record is from RNAcentral. Lineage: Eukaryota; Metazoa; Mollusca; Bivalvia; Mytilida; Mytilidae.